CAGAUGUUAACUCGUUGACACCAGAUGUUAACAGAUGUCACUCAGGUGAUAUGUAUUCCACAUCAGAUCAAAGGUUGGAAGGUUCAGUAAGAGGUGCGCUGUUGUCCACACAUCUAGAAAACUUGACACCUUUCUUGUUUCUAGGCAACCGAACACCUUCAGUUCACACCUGCAGACAGAAACUCACCUGUCGUCUCCAAGGUUCAGCAGAAACACCUGAGAGGUGGAUCAGAUCAGCUGGAUCUACUUUCAGCAGUGAUAGGAUCCGGUCCCAGCUGAGGUAUGAUGUCUGCAGGAAACUAAACAAACAGCCUGAAAUCAAAAAUAAUUCUGAGUAUGAACAACUUCCUGUUGGUUUAUUUCAUGAGUUAGUAAAAACAAAAUCAUUUAUGGAAAAAGGUCAUUUACUUUGUUCAAUGUCAGAAAACCUGUUUCUAAACUUGAGGUUAAACCUAGAGUUAACUGAGACAAUCCUGUUAUACAGUUUAUACUCAGAGUUAAACAGUGACAAUCCUGUGUUAUACAGGUUUAAAACCAGAGUUAAACUGAGACAAUCCUGUGUUAUACAGGUUUAAACCCAGAGUUAAACUGAGACAAUCCUGUGUUAUACAGGUUUAAACCUAGAGUUAAACUGAGACAAUCCUGUUUUAUACAGGUUUAAACCCUGAGUUAAACUGAGACAAUCCUGUGUUACACAGGUUUAAACCUAGAGUUAAACUGAGACAAUCCUGUUUUAUACAGUUUUAAACCCAGAGUUAAACUGAGACAAUCCUGUGUUAUACAGGUUUAAAACCAGAGUUAAACUGAGACAAUCCUGUGUUAUACAGGUUUAAACCUAGAGUUAAACUGAGACAAUCCUGUGUUAUACAGGUUUAAAACCAGAGUUAAACUGAGACAAUCCUGUGUUACACAUGUAAACCUGGAGUUAAAUCCGAUACAAACUGGUAAUAAUCUGUGUACAAACCAAACUCAAAGUAUUUGCAUAUCAAAUGUCUGAAAGUAAUUAUAAACAAACAGGAUGCAAACUGUUUCCAUGACUCUGUAGUCCUGAGGUCAGAGGUCAGCCUGGAGCUGCUUCAUGACUCAGCAGAGUCAGAACUGGGUUUGUUUUCAGCUGGUUUGUUGAUGUGGGAGGGUUUACAGUACACACACACACACACACACACACACACACACACACACACACACAUAUAAAUGAACACGUAGAAGCCUCGUUGACUGUGUCGGUCCACUGCUGUGACGAGCUGUGCGUCGGCCAUAUUGGAGGUGGCACCGCUGCGCUGUGUACUGCUGCAGAUGAAUGGACUUUGUUUCAUAAAGCACAUUUAACAGAGAUUUACGUUAAUACAGCACCAUCAUUUAUUCAAACACACACACACACAAACACACACACAACUGAGAAAAACAGGUACCAAAAACAAUGUAUUAAAACUUCUUACAGGACUACAAAAUACAACUUUAUUGAUCUCACACACAGUUUAUGUUUCAGAAGCUGGAAAGGUAAAGUAGUGUAAAAAUAUAUUUAUGUAACACUUUGUAUUAUUAUAUGAAUUGUAAUGAAUGAAUAAAGGAAACCUAUACAGAAAAAAAAGCUAAACACACAGAAACAACAGUCUAACAAAACGUUUGAACUAAUUUAUUUAUUCAUUGUUUUAUCUUCUGAAUAAGAGAUACAGUUGGUAAUUAAAAAACUUUAUUACAAUCUUAAACUUUUGACAGUUUCAUUCUGACCAGAUAUAUUAACCCAGUUGUUAAAUUAUUAAUAUAAUAAUAACAACAAUAAUAAUAAUAAUACUUUACUAACCCCCAAAAGGAAAUUACAUUUUCCAGUACAGCCAUCCAUUAUUAUAAGAAUUCCUACAAAAAGAAAUCUUAUGUUUGCAUUAAAAGAUAAGGGAUGUUGUGAAGUUAACUAAGUUAGCUCACAUGUUAUCUGUACGAGCAAUACAGUGGCUGCUGUUUGAUGGAGCUGCUCACAACAGACCUGAGACAGGUCCUGACUCUGUUAUGAUAACACUAUGACUUAAUCCUCAUAUUACUAUGACUUUUAUUCUAGUAAAACUUUAUAUAUAUAUAUGGCAUAUGUAUGUACGGUAUAUGU
Molecule: long non-coding RNA, 2101 nt
Organism: Austrofundulus limnaeus
Lineage: Eukaryota; Metazoa; Chordata; Actinopteri; Cyprinodontiformes; Rivulidae
Exons: 3
Source: RefSeq, a predicted model, not a curated record